GUGUUAUGUAAAAAAAAAAAAAUAAAUAAAUAAAUAAAAAAAAAGAUGUCUGGAUAACACGAGGUCUUUUGUGUCCUAUCAAAGUACCCAAUGUGUAGCAUUCAUGGAGCAUUUUCUCUUUUGUGUGUGCAGCUGAAUGCUGGUGGGGAGCAAAACAAUCCUGACACCAAUCAGUUCAGAUCUGUUGAGGACGAGGGUGGAAAACUGCAAGAGAACAUUUCCUGGAACAAACUGCUCAGACCAGUGAGGGGAGGCGCCGCACAGCCAGCUCAAUUGCUGUCCCAGAGGGCCCAGCUCUGCUCACACCAUGAAGAGCUCAGGAAGUGUGCACUGCGUUCGUCAAAGGAGCGGCGGCAGCGAAGCGAGGCCCGGCGGUCCAGCGAGGCGAGCGUUCUCACCAGCUGCAGCAGGACACAGCUGGAGGUGCAAGUACGCCCCCUGGACAGGAUGCCGGUCCAUUGCAGGGAAGGGCCAGC
RNAcentral lists this long non-coding RNA (476 nucleotides) under Scleropages formosus (Asian bonytongue). RNAcentral describes it as "lncRNA (ENSSFOG00015031616.1)". Lineage: Eukaryota; Metazoa; Chordata; Actinopteri; Osteoglossiformes; Osteoglossidae. The record is from RNAcentral.